UUAGUCGUCACUUUGACGGCUUCACAUCGCUGACUUAGUCGGAUAAUUAUUCUGAUCACAGCUCGCCAAAAUGAAUAAGAUCCUUUUCUUGGUGUUGUGUUCGUGCGUGCUGGUUUUUAUCAGCGCCCAGUACGGAGAUCCCUAUUCAUAUGGGGGUUACCCGAAUUACGGCGGUAACUACUACUCCCCGUACGGCGGUAACUACGCAGGCGGGCAGGGCUAUGGUCAGGGCUAUGGUCUUGCCGCUGCAUACGGAUAUGGUCAAAACAAUAAUAAUAAUAAUGUCUUAGUAUACGGAUUGCUCUUCCUUGCCGCGCUCUGGGCUCUCAAUAUUUCUGGAAUACGUGGAUAAACGAGUUUGUCAAGUUACACCAAGUCAAUGUUUUUUCAGGAACAGGAGAGGAGUUCUAUCGAAGGAUAGCACAGUGUUAUGUUUUCAAUAAAAGUUUGUUAUUGAGUUAAUAAAAGUUAUUUCAAUUCAAA
Long non-coding RNA from Mizuhopecten yessoensis (Yesso scallop), 483 nucleotides. RefSeq lists it as uncharacterized. The transcript is spliced from 3 exons. Lineage: Eukaryota; Metazoa; Mollusca; Bivalvia; Pectinida; Pectinidae. The record is from RefSeq and is a predicted model, not a curated record.